GGUUGGUCUGAGUGCAGGUGUGGUUUACAACUAAUUGAUCACAACCAGUUACAGAUUCCUUUGUCCGCUUCUCUACUCCCACUGCUUCACUUGACCAGACUUAA
Molecule: Y RNA, 104 nt
Filed under: Microcebus murinus (gray mouse lemur)
Lineage: Eukaryota; Metazoa; Chordata; Mammalia; Primates; Cheirogaleidae
Description: Y RNA (ENSMICG00000043165.1)
Rfam family: Y RNA
About the family: Y RNAs are components of the Ro ribonucleoprotein particle (Ro RNP), in association with Ro60 and La proteins. The Y RNAs and Ro60 and La proteins are well conserved, but the function of the Ro RNP is not known.
Source: Rfam by way of RNAcentral